This 235-nucleotide ribosomal RNA is filed under the name Bacteroides ovatus. Its description in RNAcentral is "partial 16S ribosomal RNA". It matches the Rfam family "Bacterial small subunit ribosomal RNA", at positions 36 to 261 of the family's 1533-position model. The record is from RNAcentral. Lineage: Bacteria; Pseudomonadati; Bacteroidota; Bacteroidia; Bacteroidales; Bacteroidaceae.
CUAGCUACAGGCUUAACACAUGCAAGUCGAGGGGCAGCAUUUUAGUUUGCUUGCAAACUGAAGAUGGCGACCGGCGCACGGGUGAGUAACACGUAUCCAACCUGCCGAUAACUCCGGAAUAGCCUUUCGAAAGAAAGAUUAAUACCGGAUGGCAUACGAAUAUCGCAUGAUAUUUUUAUUAAAGAAUUUCGGUUAUCGAUGGGGAUGCGUUCCAUUAGUUUGUUGGCGGGGUAAC